RNAcentral lists this unclassified non-coding RNA (225 nucleotides) under Hevea brasiliensis (rubber tree). The record is from RNAcentral. Lineage: Eukaryota; Viridiplantae; Streptophyta; Magnoliopsida; Malpighiales; Euphorbiaceae.
CAUCUUCAGUAUCCCAGUCAAUGUUGUCACUAUCUUCUUCAGAAAGAUGUUUGUCCAUUUCACAAUGUAAGCCUGAAAAGAACUCUAAAGUGUUCAGCACGAAGAGUAAUUGAGCACCCUGAGAAUCCUUGUCGAUCAAAGGGUGUCAAGCAACUCCGUGCUGCGCUAUAUCAUAAAUCUUCUUAAUAUCAUAGAUUUGAGAGCGAAGGAAGAAGAGGAGUUGAG